CUAAAGUCAGUGAUUGGGAAGAGUAGUUUUAAUUGUUUGUUUCAGCGAGUCGGGGUUAGGUGUGAUGCCCGAUAACAAAGGUUAUUAUGAAUGGUUCCAUGAGACAUUAGGCGAAAACAAAAUAGGCUUUAAACUAUUUUGAUAGUAGCUAAAUUCGUGUUCUCACGUUAUAGAGAUAGGAUAUAUGGUAAGUUUAUUUACUCCGUAUCUGAAAAGAGAGAGUGUGUUUGUUUAUUUAGUAGACUACAGGUAUUUUAUCUUAUUCAGAUAGAAUGCCUUUUAUUUUUUUAUAAAAGCAUACUUUGAAAUUGGGUGGCACCACGUAUACCACUUCGUCCCAUAU
This 343-nucleotide non-coding RNA is filed under the name Clostridium homopropionicum. Its description in RNAcentral is "T-box sequence". It matches the Rfam family "T-box leader". From Rfam's summary of the family: Uncharged tRNA acts as the effector for transcription antitermination of genes in the T-box leader family. T-boxes are found upstream of many aminoacyl-tRNA synthetase genes and some amino acid biosynthetic genes usually in Gram-positive bacteria. The anticodon of a specific tRNA base pairs to a specifier sequence within the T-box motif, and the NCCA acceptor tail of the tRNA base pairs to a conserved bulge in the T-box antiterminator hairpin. The record is from RNAcentral. Lineage: Bacteria; Bacillati; Bacillota; Clostridia; Eubacteriales; Clostridiaceae.